AGUGUCUAGGCGCCUUCUUUAUACUUUGAGGCUUGGAUGGACUUGGUUUUGAACCGUAGAGAGUUGAACACCGACCGUCCUUCUGCCCACCCCUCUGCCUUAGGGUGGAUGCCCACUGCCCCUCCAUCCCUAGCCGAUGAGAGACAGUGGAGAUGAGGAGAAGCUGAGAUGGGACGAAGGCGGUUUGAAGUCCUCCUUUAAAAUUGUAAAGAAAAAGGACAGCCAAAAGUCAAAUUACCCGCACUUUACCAAAUUUGGCAAAAUGCUCUUUGAAGUUCUCCCUUAAAACUGUUUCUUUAUGAAGCUUGUAUGAAGCAGAAUCUACAUGAUUCUAUUCUGCAAGAGACACAACUCUUAAGAAAAAUAUAAAAUAGGAACUUGAGAGGUCAUCAAGCAAGAAAUAAGAAAAUAAUGGCUACAAUGCAGCAAAAAUAGCAUCAAGACCAGGUGCAAGUUCACACGCCCUUAUGAUGAUCUGGUAUAGUUCCUAGAGCUGAAAUUAGGGAGGAAAUUGUAGUAACAUUAAACCUAAGCAUGCUUACCAAUGAGGCGUUGAUACAAACUGGAUUCCGUCCUGGGCAGGGCAUCUCACUCUUCCAAUAAGAAACAUAAAAC
RNAcentral lists this long non-coding RNA (615 nucleotides) under Triticum aestivum (bread wheat). Its description in RNAcentral is "long non-coding RNA (TAES_LNC024053)". Lineage: Eukaryota; Viridiplantae; Streptophyta; Magnoliopsida; Poales; Poaceae. The record is from RNAcentral.